UACGGAGGGUGCAAGCGUUAUCCGGAUUUACUGGGUUUAAAGGGUGCGUAGGUGGGUCUGUAAGUCAGUGGUGAAAUCUCCGGGCUUAACCCGGAAACUGCCAUUGAUACUAUAGGUCUUGAAUAUCCUGGAGGUGAGCGGAAUAUGUCAUGUAGCGGUGAAAUGCUUAGAUAUGACAUAGAACACCAAUUGCGAAGGCAGCUGGCUACACAAAUAUUGACACUGAGGCACGAAAGCGUGGGGAUCAAACAGG
This 253-nucleotide ribosomal RNA is filed under the name uncultured bacterium. Its description in RNAcentral is "partial 16S ribosomal RNA". It matches the Rfam family "Bacterial small subunit ribosomal RNA", at positions 524 to 776 of the family's 1533-position model. The record is from RNAcentral.